UACGUAGGGACCAAGCGUUGUUCGGAUUUACUGGGCGUAAAGGGCGCGUAGGCGGCAAUUCAAGUCAGCUGUGAAAUCUCCGGGCUUAACUCGGAACGGUCAGCUGAUACUGCUUUGCUAGAGUGCAGAAGGGGCGAUCGGAAUUCUUGGUGUAGCGGUGAAAUGCGUAGAUAUCAAGAGGAACACCUGAGGUGAAGACGGGUUGCUGGGCUGACACUGACGCUGAGGCGCGAAAGCUAGGGUAGCAAACGGG
Molecule: ribosomal RNA, 253 nt
Filed under: uncultured bacterium
Lineage: Bacteria
Description: partial 16S ribosomal RNA
Rfam family: Bacterial small subunit ribosomal RNA
Source: RNAcentral